Long non-coding RNA from Dama dama (fallow deer), 2464 nucleotides. RefSeq lists it as uncharacterized. The record is from RefSeq and is a predicted model, not a curated record. NCBI's taxonomy places the organism in Eukaryota, Metazoa, Chordata, Mammalia, Artiodactyla, Cervidae. The transcript is spliced from 4 exons.
GCUGAAAAUGUCUUGAGGGAGGAGUGAUUAAAGUGAUCCCUUUGGGCCGCGGAGGAGCCCGGCCCAGGGGCUGGGCGGUGGACUCCUCCCCUCCCUGACCCCUCCUCCCCUGCUGAGAAGGAGGGACACAGACAUUGUCAGGUGGCUUGCAGAGUGUGGGAGUGGUCCCCUCCCAGCUGGCAGGCGAGGGGCGUGGACCUUGGUGCCAGGCCCCGCGUGGGGGCUGCAGGCGCAGACAGUGCCCGGGGAGUCAGUGGGCCCAGCACCAGCCUGGGUUUGCCAAGGAAGAACCUGCCUUCUGCUCUCAGAACCUCUCCAGGCUCAUGACUGUUAAAACUCCAUACAUUCAGGACCCAGCAGAGAAAAGACUGGAGUCCUUUCUUCGGUGGCUUUUCGACUCAGAAAUACCAAGAGCCGCUUUUGGUACCUAUAUCGGAAACUUGAAGGCUGCACUUCUUAAUAAGUAUAUGGACUAUUUCCUGGAGUUGCUCCCAAGUUCACACUCUGGUGAAAAGCCAUGAGCUGACCUGUCCUAAGCCGCAGGACUUGGCUGAGCCGACACUCUUGGAGGCAUCAGGCAUACUGUUCUGAACAGUGGUUUAGAAUAUUUCUUUCUUGGACGUUCGAGUCCAACGUGGCUGAUAGAAGACCCGGGGGCAAUGGAGGAGGCCAAGUGAAGGGGUGGAGAUCGGCUCUGGGUACUACACUUCCAGAUGCGGACAGUUUCUGGACACCCGGUGACUAUAUGGGCACAAACGCACCUUUACAAAUGACGUGGUCCUGCUGCACCAGCCUAGCAGACAGCUGUCACCACUGUGACUCACUGUGAGAGCUGAGCCGUUCCAGAAACGCCUGUACACGGUUUAGCGAGACAGCCCACUGAUCUUCUGUUUGGCCGUCUUCGCAACGUUAAAUCGCGCGUUGCAGCAUUACAUCGUGUGUGGGGCUGAGGACACUUGAGGAUCCCGCAGAGCAGCGUGCUGUAAGCUGCGUCACGUCAUGUCUUGGGUCAGGAUGCAGCACUGGGCCGUCCUUUGCCCAAUCAUCUGGGGCAAGCUUCAGAGCUCCUGCUCCUCUUGGGCUGUGUCAGCCUGGCGGAGAGGCUGGGGCCACGGGACGGUCCUCUGCUGUUCAGAAAGGGAGCUUCCACGGGGACGCAGGACAAAGCAGGAAGCCGGCCGGGCCCGGCAGCCACGUUCCGUGGGCCUUUUUGUCAGCCACAUCCGGGAGGACAUAACUGCAGUGACUUCUUCUCUGAAUCUCACUGAUACCAUGAGAGGCAUGAGGGGAAAGCAUCCCAGCUGGGCAUUCAAAUUUGAGGAAGUCAGUCCCUCCUCCACACACCUAUCCUGUCUUCCACAUACACAACAUCUUCGGGGGAUGUUGGAAGAAUAUUAAUGAGCUUAGGGUCCAUAAAGGACUCAGGGAUGCUUGGAGGUGUGUACAAAGUGCACUUACCAACCUUAUAGGCUUAUUGAGUGGAUGUGCUAAUUAAUGGACCAGGAGGCUUUGAAAAUGGAAAACAUGAUAUUAUAAUAAUUGGCAAGUUCCUUCAGCCUCCUGCUUCAGCUUCCUCGUCUGCAGAGUGGAGAUAAUAACACUCAUCUAACCGGGGUUUCAGGGAGACCCACGUUAAUUCUGACCUGCUCUGUGCUUUCAUAUUCAGGAACGACGUUUACAAUGUGGUGCAACUUAAAAUCAAGAUGAACCUGUGGUCCGGAUUCUCAUUUAUGUUGCCCUUCAUUGUGCAGAUUAAAGCUGGGAUGAUCUCUUUGCUUUAACACUGACAAAGGAAAAAGAGGAAUGCUUUCCUGAAAACGUUUAAGUUUACACAAAUUUACUACAAUUGCCUGAGAAUGCAAGUGUUACUUUUAGCCUCUGGGAAGAGGAAAAUCAGACGAUGAGGCCCAGAGUGAAAGGAGUGAGGAGAGGAGUGAAGCGUGAGGGGACAGAGUGAAAGUGAAAGCGCUGGUCACUCAGUCGUGUCCAACUCUGGGCGACCCCACAGACUGUAGCCCACCAGUCUCCUCUGACCGUGCGAUUCUCCAGGCAAGAAUACCAGAGAGGGUAGCUGUUUCCUUCUCCAAGAGAUUUUCCUGACCCAGGGAUCGAACCUGGGUCUCCCGCAUUGCAGGCAGAUUGUCUGAGCCGCCAGGGAAGCCCUGAGUAUCUCCCACUAAACCCCUGAGGAGAAUGUCCACCCAAGUAGCAGCAUCUUCGGUGAGGGAGAAGAUGGGUUUCAUUUUUCUCGUAAGGAGUUUGAAAGUUGACUAUCUACGUCAGAUACAGUGGUCACUCACUGCACAAACUCCUCCAAGACCUGGACACUUCUAGUUCACUGCUCUGCCGUCCCCUAGGGAGGACCCUGAGGCCUUUUCAGGAGAAAGAUCUCUGAGACAAGAAUUAUUUUAUAUGAUACUGAGAUGUUCCUCGCCUGUCUACUCUCAUUCUCUCAAGGGUGGGG